AAAGUGAGGUGUUUUCAGUGAUUCUCUUUACCCACUACAGACCUGGUGCUGUUGAGCCAAAAGAGGGUUGAAUCUUUAUUGAAGCAAAAAUCAAUUUCUUCUGCAUAAGGACAGUAGGAAAUUCAGCCUUCAACCCUUUGAAUACAAAGUUUUCAACACAUGCAGUACCACCAACCCAUGUUCCUGUUGAAAAGAAAUGUGAAAACUUAAGGGAAGAAGAAGAAAAUCAGAAGUAUACCUAUGAAUGAGCCAUUAAUAUCACAACAUUGAGUGCACUGACUGACAAGUCAGCUGUCCUCAAGGUUAGAAAGUUUCAU
Molecule: long non-coding RNA, 317 nt
Filed under: Ictidomys tridecemlineatus (thirteen-lined ground squirrel)
Lineage: Eukaryota; Metazoa; Chordata; Mammalia; Rodentia; Sciuridae
Description: lncRNA (ENSSTOG00000030674.1)
Source: RNAcentral